Molecule: ribosomal RNA, 253 nt
Filed under: uncultured bacterium
Lineage: Bacteria
Description: partial 16S ribosomal RNA
Rfam family: Bacterial small subunit ribosomal RNA
Source: RNAcentral
UACAGAGGGGGCAAGCGUUAUUCGGAAUUAUUGGGCGUAAAGGGCGCGUAGGCGGCCUGGCAAGUGGAAGGUGAAAUCCCUCGGCUUAACCGAGGAACUGCCUUCCAAACUGCUUGGCUUGAGUCCGGGAGAGGUGAGUGGAAUUCCCAGUGUAGCGGUGAAAUGCGUAGAUAUUGGGAGGAACACCAGUGGCGAAGGCGGCUCACUGGACCGGAACUGACGUUGAUGCGCGAAAGCGUGGGGAGCAAACGGG